GCGAGUGAGAUGAACCUGCGGAAGGAUCAUUACCGAGUUCAUGCCCUUCGGGGUAGAUCUCCCACCCUUUGUAUACUAUACCUUUGUUGCUUUGGCGGGCCGCCUAGCUACUGGCUUCGGCUGGUAAGUGCCCGCCAGAGAACCCAAAACCCUGAAUUAUUAGUGUCGUCUGAGUAAAAUAUUUAAUAUUUAAAACUUUCAACAACGGAUCUCUUGGCUCUGGCAUCGAUGAAGAACGCAGCGAAAUGCGAUAAGUAAUGUGAAUUGCAGAAUUCAGUGAAUCAUCGAAUCUUUGAACGCACAUUGCGCCCCUUGGUAUUCCGAGGGGCAUGCCUAUUCGAGCGUCAUUAUCACCCCUCAAGCCUAGCUUGGUGUUGAGACCUGCUGUCAAGACAGUCUCUAAAAUCAGUGGCAGUGCUGUCAGGCUCUAAGCGUAGUAAAUUCAUCGCUAUAGACACCUGGUGGCCACUCGCCAGAACCCCCCCAUUUUUUAAUGAUUGACCUCGGAUUAGGUAGGGAUACCCGCUGAACUUAAGCAUAUCAAUAGGGAGGGAANA
This 557-nucleotide ribosomal RNA is filed under the name uncultured fungus. Its description in RNAcentral is "eukaryotic LSU rRNA". The stretch from base 194 to 347 matches the Rfam family "5.8S ribosomal RNA". Lineage: Eukaryota; Fungi. The record is from RNAcentral.